AGAGUUUGAUCCUGGCUCAGAACGAACGCUGGCGGCGUGCCUAACACAUGCAAGUCGAACGUGAAAGUCCUUCGGGAUGAGUAAAGUGGCGCACGGGUGAGUAAUGCGUAGAUAAUCUGCCUGGUGAUCUGGGAUAACAUCUCGAAAGGGGUGCUAAUACCGGAUAAGCCCACGGAGUCUUCGGACUUUGCGGGAAAAGGGGGGGACCUUCGGGCCUUCUGUCACCAGAUGAGUCUACGUACCAUUAGCUAGUUGGUGGGGUAAGAGCCCACCAAGGCUACGAUGGUUAGCUGGUCUGAGAGGAUGAUCAGCCACACUGGAACUGAGACACGGUCCAGACUCCUACGGGAGGCAGCAGUGGGGAAUUUUGCGCAAUGGGGGAAACCCUGACGCAGCAACGCCGCGUGAGUGAUGAAGGCCUU
RNAcentral lists this ribosomal RNA (422 nucleotides) under uncultured bacterium. Its description in RNAcentral is "bacterial SSU rRNA". It matches the Rfam family "Bacterial small subunit ribosomal RNA", at positions 8 to 418 of the family's 1533-position model. The record is from RNAcentral.